Molecule: long non-coding RNA, 3518 nt
Organism: Callithrix jacchus (white-tufted-ear marmoset)
Lineage: Eukaryota; Metazoa; Chordata; Mammalia; Primates; Cebidae
Source: Ensembl
GAGCUGCCCAAUAAGCAGCCUUUCCCCCGACCUCCCCUCCCCCACGCUUGCAGGGCCGCGCCCCCCGGGGCCUGCAGGGCAUCCUCUGAUUCAUUCCAGUCACCCCGGCUGCCCGCCCUCCAGGUGCCAGGGCUUGAUGAAAAGUAAAAGGCUCCUCCGCGGCUCGAGAGCCGUGAGGAUGAAAGGGGAGCAGCCGCCUCCCAGACCACACAACUAAUCCUCCCAUAAACCUCGAGCAAAUAAGGGGAGAGGAAGAACAGGCCGGCUACAGAUGUGGAGUGCAGCCUCCGGGGAUCCCCAAAUGAAAACUCGUGCAGGGGAAACCCUUGGACCACAACCAAAUGACACUAAUUAGGUUAUGGGUCCAUAAUCUUGGCUGGUAUUUAAAAAACAAAACAAAAAAACUGUUGUCACAGCUUCAAGAACUGUCUUCAUAAAAAGAAGGGGGAAAGUCCGCUAUUUUUUUACGCAUAAGCAUGAAAGAAGAGGAUUCGCGGGUCUCCUGCCUGCAUGGUGCAGGCAGGCUGGUUUCUUGAAGAAGAGGACAGUCUUGUGCCAGGGGAAGCCGCGUUGUGCCUGGCUGGCUCCGGUCUUCAGACUUUUCCUUAAAGAGAGUGGAUUCACUCUGCAGCGUACAGGAGCACCAUAUUUCUCAGACUUCCUUCACUGUACUGGAUCAGAGGUCAACCCUCCAACCUUUUGCCAAAAUCCCUUGCAUAGCCUGUCAUUCUCUAUCUUUUCCUUAUUGUGCACACAGGUGUGUUUUGAGUUUUGAAAAUGGUAUAGAUGUCUGAGUGCUAUGCCAAGUGUAUUUCAGAGAGAUCAACUCAUCUCUUGAUUGAGAAGACACCAGGUUCUUACCACGUCUGAGCUUAGUUCAUUGGUCGUCUUAGAAGGUAUCUGAAGAAAACCACUGUGUCUAGAAGCAUCAAAGAUGGGUUCAUGUGUAUGCUGACCAGAGGAAGCAGUGGAGAAUCACAUGCCUGAUGCCUGGACUCAGCUGCUUCCACGGACAGAUCUGGAUAGAGGCAAUGCCUGCCGAAGACCAGGCUGCUUUGGGCAGCACAAGACUGUAGGAUUAGGACUGUAGGGUACCUAAGGUACUUUCCCCCAAAGUUCAGAUAUUUGUCUGUUGUUCUGGAGACGUUGGCAGAAACCAAGAUCAUAACUUAUAUCUCUGCAAGUUCUUUCAUAUGCAGGUUCUCCCCACAGGGGUUGAGAAAUAUGAGAAAUUUCUAUCUGUGGCCAGGUGCAGCUCCCAGCACUUUGAGAGGCAGAGGUGGGGGAUCACGAGGUCAGGAGUUUAAGAUCAGCCUGGCCAACAUAGUGAAACCUCAUCUCUACUAAAAAUACAAAUAAUUACCAGGUGUGGUGGCAGGCACCUGUGCUCCUGGCUACUUGGGAGGCUGAGGAGGAGAAUUGCUUGAACCUCGAAGGCAGAGGUUGCAGUAAGCCAAGACUUCACCACUGCACUCCAGCCUGGGUAGCACAGCAAGACUCCAUCUCAAAAAAAAAAAAAGAAAUUUCAUGAGAAACAACUAAUACAUCUCCAUACCUUCUAUCAGUUUUAUCAUGGACAAAAGCAGGUGUUUCCACACUAUGAAUAAGUAGUUUGCAUUUUCAAAAUUAACAAAUUGGAUCAACAACAAGGAAAAAAACCAACCACAGACAGCCCACCAGAGGACUGUUUACCAAAGAAGAUGAAGCUCACGGUGAUGGUUUGCAAACACCACCAGACUAGCUUGUGUAAAUUCCCUUCGUUUAGUCAUCGUUCUUCAGCCUGUCACAGAUACUGAAGGGAAAUGCAGAAACAGGAAAUUACAGACUAUUUUAAACAGCAUGUUUUAUUAAACUCACUUGCUGAUGCACUUUAUGGCAGGAUACGAGAUUCAAGUGUUCAUAACUUACAUAUUUGCAAGUGCUUUUCCUAAGUGAGUUCUCACAGCUAAAAUAUGGCAUGUACCCAGGGCUGGGAAAUAAUCUCCAAGCUAGUAACUGUUUCACCCCAGGUCAUGUAGCUAUAUCACAUACAAUAGAAACAUUUUACCCAUGUCAAGAGAACAUACCUUGCUUAGACACUAUAGCUAAGGAAGCAACACAGGCAUCUUGUAGUAACUUAAAAGAUCCUUAAUGCAUUUAUUUUCAACCACAGAACCAAAACACAGCAAUCUUGAAGAUGAAUCACUACAAACCAUACAUUGUGUCUUCUUUUAUUAUUUAAAUACUGAUAUCAUUCUUCUCUUCGUGGGACAGUUCUGCAUCUAGUUUAAACCAUCAUUACUAAUGCCAUGCUGAAUCCUUGUCUCUGAAAAGAUCUAGUAAAAUUGGCAGGGAUGUGGUAACCUUAACUACAAAUGAAAUGACUUCAAAUUUAAGGGGCUGUCAGAAAGAUGAAAUUUAACAACUAAUUAUUUCCAAAAACAUUUCCUGCUCACAAUUUGUUAGAAGGAUAUAAAAGUCUAGCUGCACCACAGAGGAAUCCUUAUAUCCUUGUCUUAUAAGUUGUUUCGAAGUUGAUGUCUCUUAGUGGCCAUGUCUUCUACAAGUUGUCCUCUGCUCUCCUCCUGAUACACAGAAAGGAAGUCACUAAGUGGAGCUGUAAUACAAGUUCAUAAUUGGAGAAAUGGGUAGCCAUGUCUUGAUGGAGUUAACUAUGAGCUCUAAAAAGAAGUACUUCCAUUUACCUGCUUCACCGUUUAACAAAGUAGCACGUAAAAUGUUCUAAAUUUCUGUUGUCUUAAUAAAAGAUCAUGCCGAAGAUGUUACCCUAAUUUUCAAUUCAUUGCCAGAUAGUGGCAUCUGCUGGUUUUGAAUUUUUCUCUCUUCCUCCAUGUGCCCUGUCCCUGCAAUCUUGUCCCUAGGACCCCCACAAAGUGAGGUUUAGAAUAAUAGGAUUUUGAGUGAAAAGAUGAUGUUGAGACUUUUGCCCCUUGAAAAUCUCUGCCAGACCACAUUCUAUAAUCUGCCAUUUUUAGAAAGGCAGGAUCAGAGACAAAGGUUAAUGAUUUCAUUAAUGAUAUGCACCCAGAUGCCUAGGGGAAUAGCAAUUAAAGGCACUCUUGGGGAGCAAGGCCACUUUCUUAAAUGAAAACUUCCCCUCAUUUAUCUUUUAAUAGUCUUGAUUCUGUCAUAUCAGGUUUUCCUUAAAGCAGAGCACAGCAAUGAGAGAAGGUGCUGCUUCCAGGCGGGUAGACAGUAGUGUGGGUGGAGGAUGUCUUAGCUUUUCCAAGUUGCUCAAUAUAAAACUAUAGAAUCCAGUUAAGAGAUUUAACUUACUAUGAAGGGUGUCCUGGCCGCUCUAGGAAAAUCUAAUGGAAUAUCUCAUGCAUAGAAGACAAUGUUGGGUAUAUAAGAUGUGAACACAGGGGCCGGGCACGGUGGCUGAAGCCUGUAAUCCCAGAACUUUGGGAGGCCGAGGCGGGUGAAUCACGAGGUCAAGAGAUCGAGACCAUCCUGGUCAACAUGGUGAAACCCCGUCUCUACUAAAAAUACAAAAAAUUAGCUGGGCAUGGUGGUGC